RNAcentral lists this ribosomal RNA (502 nucleotides) under uncultured Sphingobacteriales bacterium. RNAcentral describes it as "bacterial SSU rRNA". It matches the Rfam family "Bacterial small subunit ribosomal RNA", at positions 903 to 1382 of the family's 1533-position model. The record is from RNAcentral. Lineage: Bacteria; Pseudomonadati; Bacteroidota; Sphingobacteriia; Sphingobacteriales.
CCUUGCCAGCCCGCUCAGAAACUCAAAUGAAUUGAGGGGGCCCGCACAAGCGGAGGAGCAUGUGGUUUAAUUCGAUGAUACGCGAGGAACCUUACCUGGGCUCGAACGUAAGAUGACUGUAGGUGAAAGCUUACAUCUCUUCGGAGCAUUUUACGAGGUGCUGCAUGGUUGUCGUCAGCUCGUGCCGUGAGGUGUCGGGUUAAGUCCCAUAACGAGCGCAACCCCUACCUUUAGUUGCCAUCAGGUUAAGCUGGGGACUCUAAAGGAACUGCCUACGCAAGUAGUGAGGAAGGUGGGGAUGACGUCAAAUCAGCACGGCCCUUACGUCCAGGGCUACACACGUGCUACAAUGGCCGGUACAAAGGGCAGCUACCUGGUGACAGGAUGCUAAUCUCAAAAGCCGGUCUCAGUUCGGAUCGGAGUCUGCAACCCGACUUCGUGAAGCUGGAUUCGCUAGUAAUCGCGCAUCAGCCAUGGCGCGGUGAAUACGUUCCCGGGCCUU